This is a long non-coding RNA of Beta vulgaris subsp. vulgaris (sugar beet), 1469 nucleotides long. RefSeq lists it as uncharacterized. The transcript is spliced from 9 exons. Lineage: Eukaryota; Viridiplantae; Streptophyta; Magnoliopsida; Caryophyllales; Amaranthaceae. The record is from RefSeq and is a predicted model, not a curated record.
ACCACUAAAAUAUUGGCCAUCAAAAAAAGGAAAAAAAGAGGAAGUGCAAGAUUGCCAUGUAUAAUUUCCACCGCAUUCGAAAGGUCAAGAUUGAGCAACUCAUCAACACUAAAAUAUAAAUCUUUAGGUUUUUGAAGUUUUUAGGUUACUGUUGAUGAACUAUUUACAUCUUCAGAAGACUUUAAUCUAUUCAAUUGUUCGUCAAAUUGAUCAAAAAUUGGGUGAGCUUUUGAUGAUUAUCAAAAACAACGGAUGUGUUAACUGAUAAUUGACUCAAGAGUAGCAUCAACAACAUCAAAUUCACUGUUUGUUGACUUUGCUUCUUUGUCACCACCCUGGUGCAUUAACUUGUUUACUAAAGACCAUUUGCUUUUUUGGGUUUCCAACUUUGCACCACCGAUAUAGGACAACACGGACUUAAAGAUAUCAAGGGUUACGGCCUCUACAUCUUUCAACAUGGUCUUGAUGGCAUCACCCUCGAUAGUUUGGCUUGGUGGUUGGUGCUUAAUUGAUAAACCACUAUGCACACGAGUGGCUAGCUAAGUCCUACAAGGCUACAAAGCAGGCAGAUAUAUCCAUGUAGAAGAAGAUCUUAUGGUGGGCUUCUACUAUACAUCAUAUAUGUGAUAUUCAAUGUCGUAUUCUGCUCAUGUCUUCAUCAUGAUCCUAAGUGAUCGCCAUGCACGAGUGGUAAUGACACGAUUUAUAACAACCAAGUUGCUAACAUGAUCCAAGAAGGUAGGCAACCGCUGUGUUGGAGAUUUCAAACGAAGAGCAAAAAUCAGUACAGCAAACCCAAGACUUGCAUAUAUCAUCUGCAGUGUAGUGCUUGCCUACCUUGUUGGAUCAUGUUGGGAACAAUGUACAGCACAACCAAGACUUGCAUAUCAAGGUGACUCGUGCAAAUCCAUUAAUUUGCAUAACCAGCAUGCAGAGCUAAGAUUUCAAACGAAGAGAAAAAAUCAGGACAGCACACCCAAGACUUGCAUAUAUCAUCUGCAGUGUAGUGCUUGCCUACCUUGUUGGUUCAUGUUGGGAACAAUGUACAGCACAACCAAGACUUGCAUAUGAAGGUGAUUUAGCAUAACCAGCAUGCAGAGCUAAGAUUUCAAACGAAGAGCAAAAUCAGUACAGCACACCCAAGACUUGCAUAUAUCAUCUGCAGUGUAGUGCUUGCCUACCUUGUUGGAUCAUGUUGGGAACAAUGUACAGCACAACCAAGACUUGCAUAUCAAGGUGACUCGUGCAAAUCCAUUAAUUUGCAUAACCAGCAUGCAGAGCUAAGAUUUCGAAAGAAGAGCAAAAUCAUUACAACAGCAUAACCAAGACUUUGCAUAUAUCAUCUGCAGCGCAGUGCUUGGCUACCUUGUUGGAUCAUUUUGCGAACAAUUUACAGCACACCCAAGACUUGCAUAUCAAGGUGACUCGUGCAAAUCUAUUAAUUAGCAUAAACAGCAUGCAGAGCUAAG